Molecule: ribosomal RNA, 609 nt
Filed under: Triticum aestivum (bread wheat)
Lineage: Eukaryota; Viridiplantae; Streptophyta; Magnoliopsida; Poales; Poaceae
Description: partial small subunit ribosomal RNA
Source: RNAcentral
AUGUUUGUGGCCCAAUUAGCUAGAAAGCAGGAAGUGAAUUCAGCAUUUCUCUAUGAUUUUGAGGUGAAUGAUGAGGGGAACCUGGUGCGUGUGUUCUGGGCAGAUGCCACAAGUAGGAAGAACUAUAGUCACUUUGGUGAUGUCAUAUCCUUCGAUUCUACAUACACCACUAAUCAGUACAACAUGAUAUUUGCACCAUUUACAGGGGUUAAUCAUCACUUACAAAGUGUCUUUUUUGGUGCUGCAUUCUUAUCAAAUGAGAAGGAUGAGUCAUACAUUUGGUUAUUUCAGACCUUCCUAAAAGCAAUGGGAGGGGUAGCACCUAGACUCAUCAUAACUGAUGAAGCUGCUAGCAUCAAGAAUGGUAUUGACAAAGUACUUCCAGCCACUAUGCAUAGGUUAUGCAUGUGGCAUAUAAUGGAAAAGGUGCCUGAAAAAGUUGGACCUUUGAUUAGAGAAGAUUCUGAAUUUUGGCCGAGGUUGAACUCAUGUGUUUGGGGUUCAGAAACUGCAAGUGAGUUUGAAUCACAAUGGAAUUCCAUCAUUACGGAUUUUGGGUUGGAGGAUAAUGAGUGGUUAGCUAAGAGGUUUACCAUUAGAGAUACAUGA